UGUUCCAGCCAUUCAUUUAUUAAAGGGUUUAAUUGCAUACACGUCCCUAUAAAUAUAGUGAACUAUAGAUAUACUCCUACAAAGCUCAACUUUCAUAAGUUAUUCCUACAAAAAUCCUAAUGUAUUCAGAUAUAUCCCUGCCGUUAGAUUCCGUUAGAGAAAUUUCGUUAAUCACAGUUAAAAUAUUUAACCAUAGUUAAUUACUAACGUGAAUUGACAGGUUUAUCUUUCGCCCUCUUCAUCUUCCUCUUCUGCUUGUUGAAAUGGCCGUCAUCGUUGUCGCCGGCGAGGAAGGAGGCGCGGCGGGCGAUCGCAGUGGAGAAGGAAGACGCCGGGAGUCGAGGAGCUCCGCCGCAGAGGCGCCGGGGGAGAAGGAGGAGGAGGGGAGCGCGGUUUUGAGGACGAGGUGGAGCGGGGCGCAGGGCGAGUGUGGCGCGAGGCGGAGGACACGGCGUGCGGGGCCAGAGGAGUUGGCGGCGGCGGCGGCGCGGG
Molecule: long non-coding RNA, 492 nt
Filed under: Ananas comosus (pineapple)
Lineage: Eukaryota; Viridiplantae; Streptophyta; Magnoliopsida; Poales; Bromeliaceae
Description: long non-coding RNA (ACOM_LNC031044)
Source: RNAcentral